RNAcentral lists this ribosomal RNA (451 nucleotides) under uncultured Fibrobacter sp. Its description in RNAcentral is "partial 16S ribosomal RNA". It matches the Rfam family "Bacterial small subunit ribosomal RNA", at positions 341 to 792 of the family's 1533-position model. The record is from RNAcentral. Lineage: Bacteria; Pseudomonadati; Fibrobacterota; Fibrobacteria; Fibrobacterales; Fibrobacteraceae.
ACGGAAGGCAGCAGUGGGGAAUAUUGCACAAUGGGGGAAACCCUGAUGCAGCAACGCCACGUGUGGGAAGACGCAUUUCGGUGUGUAAACCACUGUCGUGAGGGAAUAAGGCUACUUUUCGGAGUAGUUGAAUGUACCUCGAAAGGAAGCACCGGCAAACUUCGUGCCAGCAGCCGCGGUAAUACGAGGGGUGCAAGCGUUGUUCGGAGUCACUGGGCGUAAAGGGAGCGCAGGCGGAGAUGCAAGCAGUCUGUACAAUACCGGGGCCCAACCCCGGACCUGCAGACUGGACUGUUCCUCUUGGAUAGCUCAGGGGCUGGCGGAAUUCCUGGUGUAGCGGUGGAAUGCGUAGAGAUCAGGAAGAACACCGAUGGCGAAGGCAGCCAGCUGGGGGCUUAUCGACGCUCAUGCUCGAAAGUGCGGGUAGCAAACAGGAUUAGAUACCCUGGUA